CCUACGGGUGGCAGCAGUGAGGAAUAUUGGUCAAUGGGCGCGAGCCUGAACCAGCCAAGUCGCGUGAGGGAAGACGGUCCUAUGGAUUGUAAACCUCUUUUGUCGGGGAGCAAAAGACGCCACGCGUGGCGUUCCGAGCGUACCCGAAGAACAAGCAUCGGCUAACUCCGUGCCAGCAGCCGCGGUAAUACGGAGGAUGCGAGCGUUAUCCGGAUUUAUUGGGUUUAAAGGGUGCGCAGGCGGAAGAUCAAGUCAGCGGUAAAAUUGAGAGGCUCAACCUCUUCGAGCCGUUGAAACUGGUGUUCUUGAGUGAGUGAGAAGUAUGCGGAAUGCGUGGUGUAGCGGUGAAAUGCAUAGAUAUCACGCAGAACUCCGAUUGCGAAGGCAGCAUACCGGCGCUCAACUGACGCUCAUGCACGAAAGUGUGGGUAUCGAACAGGAUUAGAUACCCCUGUAGUC
Molecule: ribosomal RNA, 459 nt
Filed under: uncultured bacterium
Lineage: Bacteria
Description: partial 16S ribosomal RNA
Rfam family: Bacterial small subunit ribosomal RNA
Source: RNAcentral